GAUGAACGCUGGCGGCGUGCCUAAUACAUGCAAGUCGAGCGAACGGACGAGAAGCUUGCUUCUCUGAUGUUAGCGGCGGACGGGUGAGUAACACGUGGAUAACCUACCUAUAAGACUGGGAUAACUUCGGGAAACCGGAGCUAAUACCGGAUGAUAUUUUGAACCGCAUGGUUCAAAAGUGAAAGACGGCCUUGCUGUCACUUAUAGAUGGAUCCGCGCUGCAUUAGCUAGUUGGUAAGGUAACGGCUUACCAAGGCAACGAUGCAUAGCCGACCUGAGAGGGUGAUCGGCCACACUGGAACUGAGACACGGUCCAGACUCCUACGGGAGGCAGCAGUAGGGAAUCUUACGCAAUGGGCGAAAGCCUGACGGAGCAACGCCGCGUGAGUGCUGAAGGUCUUCGGAUCGUAAAACUCUGUUAUUAGGGAAGAACAUAUGUGUAAGUAACUGUGCACAUCUUGACGGUACCUAAUCAGAAAGCCACGGCUAACUACGUG
This 497-nucleotide ribosomal RNA is filed under the name uncultured bacterium. RNAcentral's name for it is "partial 16S ribosomal RNA". It matches the Rfam family "Bacterial small subunit ribosomal RNA", at positions 28 to 507 of the family's 1533-position model. The record is from RNAcentral.